This 2507-nucleotide long non-coding RNA is filed under the name Salmo salar (Atlantic salmon). RNAcentral describes it as "lncRNA (ENSSSAG00000116296.1)". The record is from RNAcentral. Lineage: Eukaryota; Metazoa; Chordata; Actinopteri; Salmoniformes; Salmonidae.
GCAUAUUUUCAACUGGUUGGAUUACCGAAAUAUGGUUCCGUUUUCCAUCUUUUGAUGUCACCAGACUCUGUAUGUUAACGAAGGGAUUUUCAAUAGUCACAUUGGUAGAGUAGAGAGAGGAAAAAGGGGAAAGGAAUUUAUGGGGGUCAUAAACCUCCAACAGGCCAGCAUCAUGACAAACCCUUUUGGGUUCUAUGUAGAACCCUUUCCAUAGAAGGUUCUACAUGGAAACCAAAAGGGUUUUACGUGGAACCAAAAGGGGUUCUUCCUAGAACCAAAAAGGGUUAUUCUAUGGGGACACCUGAAGUACCCUUUUGGAACACUUUUUUUCUAAGAGUGUAGGUAAUAAGCUGUAGUCAGGUGGUCAUUACCAGGUUAUGAUGAGGUCUUUACUAUGAUCAGUAGGAUACAUAAUAUAGCACAUAAUAUAGUGGUCACAAUUAUGACCAGAUGGUCACAUGUUGGUCAGAAAAAGACGUCAGAUUCUGGUCAGUAAAAAUCUGUUAAAAAAUGUCCUAUUUCAUCCAGUUUGCGACAGAAUAAGACGUCAUAAAAAGAUGUCAUACUGACGUCUUUUCAAACCAGGUUUUGACCACUGGGUGGAAUACCACUGUAAGUAGGCCUAUACUAUAGUUGUCAUUUGUUUCCAAGUAGACAAUGUUUCAGAAUUUGAGGUCAGUGCAGCAUAUGAAAAAUACAUUAUUGAAUUCAAACAAUCUGUUUAGAGGUCCCCAACAAUUUGCAAUAGUUUUUUUUCUUCAGAAAUUGUCAAAUACAGCAAAUGUCACUGUAAACGUUUAAAACAUUCUGCCAACACCUCCAGAGACAUUUGAUCAAACUCGCCAUUUCUAUUUGGAAACUACCAUGGUAUAAUUCCAGUACUUCCAAAGUACACAGCAAAAAAAGGCGUUAUUGUCACUAUAAAUGGUGAAUGAAGGCCGUUUUUCAGGCAGAUUCUCAUUCACGCGCGCACAGGUUCAGGACGGUCUGACUUAUAACAGGAAACAUGCUUAUGUAUGGCAACCACCAAGUUUAUACAUCUCAAUAUUUUUGAACGUGUGCAGACUUUUCUGAAAUUAUGCAAGCAGAUAUUUAUUGUGAAAUGUACACAACGGUUAUAAAUGAGGACCCAGAUGCCUUCAUCUGACUAACAGGCAACAGCAAGCAGUGUUGUGGCACCUCGUUGACGGUUCCAGACACUUGUAGCUGUGUUCUCCUGUUGAGCAAAAAAUAACAAGAGUUAACAUGGCACCAAAUGAAACCUGUUUUACACAGCACAUUUUCCGGAGCUAAAUGAUUGUGGGCAGAGUACGUGUUUUUUUUACCACACUCGUUUUUGACAGGAAAUGAGAAGUGAGAAGCCACAACAGUGCAGCUAUUGGAAACUACUCACUGGUCACAGAUGUCAGUUGAACAUCUAGCCUAGUUUCGUUUUGGUUGAGUUGUCAACUAACGUGAUUCAACAUGAAUUCAGCAAAAAAUGGCACCAUGUUUUUGGAUUUAGGUUAAAAGUUUGGUGGGAAAAAUAGGAAAUUCCCUUACAUUGAUUAGUUUUUGCAAAUCCAAUCAGUCCCACGUUGUCUUCACAUUUUGUUUUGUUGUUGAAAUGAAGUGUAAACAACACUGAUUCAUCCAGUUUUUUCCCAGGGGGUAGUGAUCAGCACAAACUCAUAGAGUCAGACUUAAAGUAGGUCAAGUAGCCUGUGUGUUAUACAUUGUGUUUGGGUAUUUAAAAUGUGUCAGUAGGAUAUAUAGUAUUGUAUGUAAAGGGCUUACAUAGAAACUUCCAAAAGGACUAAUUCGAGACAGAAAGGAGUUGGGGCACUCAACUGUCACCUGUUAUCAUCCAAUAAAAUGGAUUAAAGUGACCUAAAAUAAAUCCAUGUCUGCCUUUCCAAUUACUUUCUGCCUCAAUUUAGUCCUUUUGGAUGUUUUUCUUGGUAAGCCCUUCUCAUGCUUUUCAUCAUUGUUGUUGAGCACCCCUCCUUUCCUUUGUUUGCUGAAGAGCGAAGGCCCACCUGAACUCAUAUCAUUGCAUGUAUUUCUGAGACACCAAUUCAGUACUCUAUCCUCAUUGUAGAUCUGAUAUGUAUAUGAGAAUGCACCAUUUUUACUACAGUGCUUCCAAGUAAUUAUUAAAAUACCAAAAAGCUGACAAACACUCAUUACAGCAACUCUUUAACCAGGACGUGGCAGAGGGUAUUUUGUUUAUGUGUUUCGGGGUGAUGGUUUAUGUAGUAGGGUGUUUGAUUUAUUAUUUCUGGGUUUUUUGGUCACUGCUCUAUGUUAGUCUAUUUCUAUGUUCUUUCUAGUUAGUCUGUUUCUAUGUUUAGUUAAUUGGGGUGUGGACUCUCAAUUGGAGGCAGGGGUUGUCUAGUUGCCUUUGAUUGAGAGUCCUAUAUAUUAGGGUGUGUUUGUGAUUUGUGGGAGGUUGUGCUUGUUUAGCUGUCUAUGCCUGACAAGACUGUAUUUCGUCAUUCAUCAUUUUUUGUGAUUUUUGUAUACGG